AACGAACGCUGGCGGCAGGCUUAACACAUGCAAGUCGAACGCUCCGCAAGGAGAGUGGCAGACGGGUGAGUAACGCGUGGGAAUCUACCUAGUUCUACGGAACAACAGAGGGAAACUUACGCUAAUACCGCAUACGUCUUACGGGAGAAAGCGGGGGAUCGAAAGACCUCGCGCGGCGGGAUGAGCCGAUGCCGGAUUAG
RNAcentral lists this ribosomal RNA (200 nucleotides) under uncultured bacterium. Its description in RNAcentral is "partial 16S ribosomal RNA". It matches the Rfam family "Bacterial small subunit ribosomal RNA", at positions 29 to 244 of the family's 1533-position model. The record is from RNAcentral.